AGAGUUUGAUCAUGGCUCAGAUUGAACGCUGGCGGCAGGCCUAACACAUGCAAGUCGAACGGUAACAUUUCUAGCUUGCUAGAAGAUGACGAGUGGCGGACGGGUGAGUAAUGCUUGGGAACUUGCCUUUGCGAGGGGGAUAACAGUUGGAAACGACUGCUAAUACCGCAUAAUGUCUUCGGACCAAACGGGGCUUCGGCUCCGGCGCAAAGAGAGGCCCAAGUGAGAUUAGCUAGUUGGUAAGGUAACGGCUUACCAAGGCGACGAUCUCUAGCUGUUCUGAGAGGAAGAUCAGCCACACUGGGACUGAGACACGGCCCAGACUCCUACGGGAGGCAGCAGUGGGGAAUAUUGCACAAUGGGGGAAACCCUGAUGCAGCCAUGCCGCGUGUGUGAAGAAGGCCUUCGGGUUGUAAAGCACUUUCAGUUGUGAGGAAAAGUUAGUAGUUAAUACCUGCUAGCCGUGACGUUAACAACAGAAGAAGCACCGGCUAACUCCGUGCCAGCAGCCGCGGUAAUACGGAGGGUGCGAGCGUUAAUCGGAAUUACUGGGCGUAAAGCGCACGCAGGCGGUUUGUUAAGCUAGAUGUGAAAGCCCCGGGCUCAACCUGGGAUGGUCAUUUAGAACUGGCAGACUAGAGUCUUGGAGAGGGGAGUGGAAUUCCAGGUGUAGCGGUGAAAUGCGUAGAUAUCUGGAGGAACAUCAGUGGCGAAGGCGACUCCCUGGCCAAAGACUGACGCUCAUGUGCGAAAGUGUGGGUAGCGAACAGGAUUAGAUACCCUGGUAGUCCACACCGUAAACGCUGUCUACUAGCUGUUUGUGACUUUAAGUCGUGAGUAGCGAAGCUAACGCGCUAAGUAGACCGCCUGGGGAGUACGGCCGCAAGGUUAAAAC
RNAcentral lists this ribosomal RNA (895 nucleotides) under marine metagenome. RNAcentral describes it as "bacterial SSU rRNA". It matches the Rfam family "Bacterial small subunit ribosomal RNA", at positions 8 to 900 of the family's 1533-position model. The record is from RNAcentral.